UUCUAGCCGACGUUAGUGGUCCCCAACGCUCAGCGUAGGGCGUACCGCACGCGUCGUCUAUCCUAUCAGUUUGUCUGGUUUCGGCCGGGCUGACUGGUUCUUUUACUUUGAAAAAAUUAGAGUGUUUAAAGCAGGCUUGCGCAAUGAAUACAUUAGCAUGGAAUAAUAAUAUAGGACUUCGGUCUCUACUUUAUUGGUUCUGGAGUUGAAGUAAUGAUUGAUAGGGAUAGUUGGGGGUGCUAGUAUUGAGUGGCCAGAGGUGAAAUUCUUAGAUUCACUCAAGACUAACUUAUGCGAAAGCAUUCACCAAGGAUGUCUUCUUUAAUCAAGAACGAAAGUUGGGGGAUCGAAGACGAUC
RNAcentral lists this ribosomal RNA (358 nucleotides) under uncultured eukaryote. RNAcentral describes it as "SSU rRNA". It matches the Rfam family "Eukaryotic small subunit ribosomal RNA", at positions 639 to 1009 of the family's 1831-position model. The record is from RNAcentral.